UUUGUUUAGAAUUCAACCAAGGAUGAAAAGGACAAGAGUUGUGUGUCCCAUGAACUUAUGUGGCAAAUCUGACUUUAAAAAUGACACACAUUUGCAUCAGUUUUUCCAUCUAGCUGCCCUAAGCCCACCCUGGAUCCCAGCUCUGAUUUUUCCAUGGUCAUGCACAACUCAGUCUUUGUAUCUCUUUCUCCUUGUCUAUAAAAUUAGGUCAGUAAUACCUACUUUGCAGUCAUUUUCAAAAUUAAAUGAAAUUUUAAAAGGUAUACAAAAUGCUAAGCACACAGCACUUAAAUGUUUCAACCUUCUGAAACGUCUCUCCAUUUGGCUGCCCUAGGCUCUAAACAAGUUAUGUUGGAGUCACCAUUCUUUCCAAAAACUGUAAGUUUCUGUCCUCUAGCAUUUUUCCUUAAAAUGAUCUUGAUCCAUAAGAUUGUGUGAAUAUUUACAUUCAUAAUCCAAUUCACAUAUUUAUAGGGAAGUUCACUUGAAAAGACUAAGUGGAAAUUUUUUAAAUAUGAGGCAUCUAUUUUUGAGCAUCUAUUAUGUACCAGGUCUUAUCCUAAGCAUUCUAUACUUAUAAUUUUACUUCAUUUCAUUUCAUUCUUAUAAAGCCCCUUUAGGAAAAGAAUUAUUUUGCUCAUUGUAUAGAUGAUAAAAUUGGAUUUCACAGAGGUAAAGUUAAUGUGCACACACACGUAUACACACAAAAUUGCUACCGGGGGAACUUGCUAGGACUUGAACCCAGGUCUGUCAAAACUCCAAAGGCAGACAGGCUAUAAUUGUGUCUCCCAGUGUAUAAAACACUUUAUAUAUCAAGUGUAUAUGAAUACUUUACAUAUAAAGUAUUCAUAAGAUGUUUUGUGUAUACUUGUGCACAUGUCAAACUUUAAAAGAUUUAAGUAUAAACUAUAGUUUUGUACUUAGAACAGUAUCAUAAAAUGAAUUUCUAAAUCAAUACUGAAAUUGAUCUAAUUUCUAUGUUUAGCCAUUGAGAGGUUAAUCUACUUCUCAUAAGAGAGUUAGAAAGUUUCCAAAGCAUCUCCUCCCCACCCCCAGGCCUUUUUGACUACCCCAGCUUUUUAUUAGCCCUAAUGUUGGUCGCCUUCCCAGGGCAUCUACUGGUUUGCAUGUAAUUUGUCUAAUUAAAUUUAAAGAAGAGAUGUUUCAGGGAGCACCAUUUCAUCACUUCCUCUCAUACUCCAUACUGUGGACUUUAAUGAGGACCUAGACCCUAUCUUAACUCAGCCUUAGUUUCAGCACGGAUGAGCUGAGCUUGUUAAGACAGUCCUCAGUUGUCAGGAAAAAUAGCUUUAUUAAGGUCAUGGAAUGUCGAGAGUUUGAUUAAAGCUAAUCAAGGAAGAAAGCCAGGCUGCAGCAUGGUGAAUCAAGCCUCAGUGCAUGUUUAACAUAACUUAACCUAGUCUAUCUGUUGAAAGCAGACAUAAAUAAGAUCAGGUUUCUUAAAAAAAA
This is a long non-coding RNA of Phyllostomus discolor (pale spear-nosed bat), 1470 nucleotides long. RefSeq lists it as uncharacterized. NCBI's taxonomy places the organism in Eukaryota, Metazoa, Chordata, Mammalia, Chiroptera, Phyllostomidae. The record is from RefSeq and is a predicted model, not a curated record. The transcript has 3 exons.